GAUGAACGCUGGCGGCGUGCCUAACACAUGCAAGUCGAACGGAGUCGUUUUGGAAAUCUCUUCGGAGAUGGAAUUCUCGACUUAGUGGCGGACGGGUGAGUAACGCGUGAGCAAUCUGCCUUUAAGAGGGGGAUAACAGUCGGAAACGGCUGCUAAUACCGCAUAAAGCAUUAAAUUCGCAUGUUUUUGAUGCCAAAGGAGCAAUCCGCUUUUAGAUGAGCUCGCGUCUGAUUAGCUAGUUGGCGGGGUAACGGCCCACCAAGGCGACGAUCAGUAGCCGGACUGAGAGGUUGAACGGCCACAUUGGGACUGAGACACGGCGCAGACUCCUACGGGAGGCAGCAGUGGGGAAUAUUGCGCAAUGGGGGAAACCCUGACGCAGCAACGCCGCGUGAUUGAAGAAGGCCUUCGGGUUGUAAAGAUCUUUAAUCAGGGACGAAACAAAUGACGGUACCUGAAGAAUAAGCUCCGGCUAACUACGUG
This 483-nucleotide ribosomal RNA is filed under the name uncultured bacterium. Its description in RNAcentral is "partial 16S ribosomal RNA". It matches the Rfam family "Bacterial small subunit ribosomal RNA", at positions 28 to 507 of the family's 1533-position model. The record is from RNAcentral.